RNAcentral lists this ribosomal RNA (253 nucleotides) under uncultured bacterium. RNAcentral's name for it is "partial 16S ribosomal RNA". It matches the Rfam family "Bacterial small subunit ribosomal RNA", at positions 524 to 776 of the family's 1533-position model. The record is from RNAcentral.
UACGUAGGGUGCGAGCGUUAAUCGGAAUUACUGGGCGUAAAGCGUGCGCAGGCGGUUUUGUAAGACAGUCGUGAAAUCCCCGGGCUCAACCUGGGAAUGGCGAUUGUGACUGCAAAGCUGGAGUGCGGCAGAGGGGGAUGGAAUUCCGCGUGUAGCAGUGAAAUGCGUAGAGAUGUGGAGGAACACCGAUGGCGAAGGCAGCCCCCUGGGAUAACACUGACGCUCAUGCACGAAAGCGUGGGGAGCAAACAGG